GACAUAGGAGGCGAGCGUUAUCCGGAUUUAUUGGGCGUAAAGUGCGUUGAGGCGGCAUUGUAAGUUGGACGUGAAAGCUCCUGGCUUAACUGGGAGAGGCCGUUCAAUACUGCAAGGCUAGAGGGUAGCAGAGGGGGGUGGAAUUCCCGGUGUAGUGGUGAAAUGCGUAGAUAUCGGGAGGAACACCAGUGGCGAAGGCGGCCCCCUGGGCUACACCUGACGCUGAAGGCGAAAGCUAGGGUAGCAAACGGGAUUAGAUACCCGUGUA
Molecule: ribosomal RNA, 268 nt
Filed under: uncultured prokaryote
Description: partial 16S ribosomal RNA
Rfam family: Bacterial small subunit ribosomal RNA
Source: RNAcentral